UACGUAGGGGGCUAGCGUUGUUCGGAAUUACUGGGCGUAAAGCGCACGUAGGCGGAUCGAUCAGUCAGGGGUGAAAUCCCAGGGCUCAACCCUGGAACUGCCUUUGAUACUGUCGAUCUGGAGUAUGGAAGAGGUGAGUGGAAUUCCGAGUGUAGAGGUGAAAUUCGUAGAUAUUCGGAGGAACACCAGUGGCGAAGGCGGCUCACUGGUCCAUUACUGACGCUGAGGUGCGAAAGCGUGGGGAGCAAACAGG
This 253-nucleotide ribosomal RNA is filed under the name uncultured bacterium. RNAcentral describes it as "partial 16S ribosomal RNA". It matches the Rfam family "Bacterial small subunit ribosomal RNA", at positions 524 to 776 of the family's 1533-position model. The record is from RNAcentral.